Molecule: long non-coding RNA, 764 nt
Filed under: Olea europaea (common olive)
Lineage: Eukaryota; Viridiplantae; Streptophyta; Magnoliopsida; Lamiales; Oleaceae
Description: long non-coding RNA (OEUR_LNC007961)
Source: RNAcentral
UUGUUUCGCGCGUGUUAAUUCGCUAAUAAUUAAAGAGGAUCAGACGAUUGUGUAAGGGACGAAACCUCUUGAGACAAAGUCCCAAAAAGGGGUGUUCUUUUUAUUGGUGAUGAACUUUACAAUUGGAAACGGAAAACAACGUGCCUCCAAGGGGCGCAAGCACACGAGUUACAGAAAAGGAAGUGUUUAAGUCUAAAAGCUAAAGGAAUGAAAAUUACAUAUUCUCUGUUCGAGAGUUUUGGAUUCGAUCCUUUGCUUCUAUGUUCUUUCUCCCUUUUAUACUUCAUAGGUGAUCCCUUUGUGAUUAACUGCUUUAAAAAAACUGCCUGAUCGCCCUAUAACUACCCACUUUCUUUGUAGUGGCCAUUUUGUCAUGAAACUGUCCUUUUAACUACUGCCAUUAUCUUGCAUCGUUCAACCGCUUUCGAUUGAACCCCUUGAGUCGUGGAACGUGAUAAGGUUACUUUAGCAACUGCCUCAAUAACUGCAUUUCUUGACAAUCAUAAUGCGUUAUGUUUGUUGAUACCUUGGGCGACUUGAAGAUUUGGGCGAGACUCUGGGUGACCGUAUGCCACUCUAUUCGUUCAGAUUUUGAGCGACUUGCAAACUUGGGCGAUGGCGUUACCGCACUAUUGGGCCCCUUAUUUGGGCAUUCACCUUAAUUCGUUCAAUUGGAUUUCGUUCUUUGGGCUGUCUGAUUUGGGGAUCCUCCAAUUGGGCUUUACUCUCUGGGCUAUUCGAUUUGGGCUGAAUUUUUAUGUGUC